CCAAUUUUUCAAUGGUCCGUGGUUGUCAUGGAGGGAGGUCCCUACACAUGCUAAAGUUGGAAUGUGGAACAAAUUUGAGGAGAUACACACAAUUCUUCCAGGACAAUUGCAUCAUGUGCAUCAAGUUUGGAACAAGCAUUGCCAGCGACGGUUGACAACCUCAUUAGGGAGGGUCAGAAGCCAAAAGCUUCUGGAAGCAAAAGGAGAUUUAAAUAGAGCCCGUGAUAAACCCCCUAAUUGGAUCUCUAGAGAAAAUUGGAAUAAGCUAAUUGACAUUUGGAUCUCCCCAAAAUGGAAGAAGAAAU
This is a non-coding RNA of Phoenix dactylifera (date palm), 305 nucleotides long. The record is from RefSeq and is a predicted model, not a curated record. NCBI's taxonomy places the organism in Eukaryota, Viridiplantae, Streptophyta, Magnoliopsida, Arecales, Arecaceae.